CAUAUAGCGAGAGCGAGAAUACAGAAUACAUGGUGUCAGGGUGGGUAUAAUAUCCCCCAUAAUAUCUGGCAGGGCUGUACCACUAUAUAGAGAAUAUACAGAAUAUAUGGUGCCAGGGUGGGUAUAAUAUCCCCAUAAUAUCUGUUAGGGUUAUACCACUAUAUAUAUAGAGAGAGAGAGAGAGAAAAUACAUGGUGCUAGUGUUGUUAUAAUUGCUCCCACAAUGCAUGGCAACAAAGCUGUAGCACAAUACAAAGUGUAUACAUUGUGCCUGGUGGGUAUAAAUGCCCCCAUAAUGCAUGGCAGGGUUGUACCACUAUCCCCUGCUGGGUGGGUAGAAGUACUCACAUAGUGCUUGGAUGGGUUCCUCCUCUUCUGCACACCCUCCACACUCACAUCCAGCACCCAGAAGGACAGCAUCUUUCCCUUCGGAUACACGGCCAUACAGACUGACAGACAGCGGGCUGAAGUUCAGUGACUGGAGAUGUUGAGCUCUUCGAAUAUACAGAAAAGAAAACUACAAGAUAACCAAGCUCCCCUACAGAGAAAUCCAAUCAGAGUCAGACUUCAACCCAGGGGGGAUCAUUUCAAUGUCUCGGUGGGGAACCCUAUCUCAAUAUAUGAUCUUGCAGUUAUUUGGGAUCAGUGGGAUUGGCUUCCAGUAAAUCAUUUUAUUCUGGAACUUGCCUGACUAUAACAUAAAACAAGACCAAGAGCCAAGACAGAGAGAUAAAGGUUUUUGACGUCUUAUCCAGAAUGCUUAAGCCCUGAGGUUU
Molecule: long non-coding RNA, 776 nt
Organism: Xenopus laevis (African clawed frog)
Lineage: Eukaryota; Metazoa; Chordata; Amphibia; Anura; Pipidae
Exons: 3
Source: RefSeq, a predicted model, not a curated record